CUAUGGGUCUCUUUGGGGUUUCUGUGGGUCUCUAUGAGGCACGCUGUGGGUCUCUAUGGGUCGCUGUGGGGCACGCUGUGGGGCACGCUGUGGAUCUCUGUGGGUCUCUUUGGGGUCUCUGUGGGUCUCUGUGGGUUGCUAUGGGUCGCUAUGGGGCACUGUGUGGGUCUCUAUGGGUCUCCAUGGGUUUCUUUGGGCGCUGUGGGGCACGCUAUGGGGCAUGCUACGGGUCGCUGUGGGGCACGCUAUGGGUCUCUUUGGGGGUCUCUGUGGGUCUCUGUGGGUCUCUAUGGGGCACGCUAUGGGGCACUGUCGGUCUCUGUGGGUCCCUAUGGGUCGCUGUGGGGCACGCUGUGGGGCACUCAGGGGCACUCAGGGGCCUGCUGUGGGUCGCUGUGGGUCGCUAUGGGGCACACUGUGGGUCUCUAUGGGUCUAUGGGGUUUCUGUGGGUCUCUAUGGGUUGCUAUGGGGCACGCUAUGGGUCUCUAUGGGUCGCUAUGGGGCCCGCUGUGGGGCACGCUAUGGGUCUUUAUGGGUCUCUGUGGGGCACACUGUGGGUGUCUAUGGGGCACGCUAUGGGUCUCUGAGUCUCUGUGGGUCUCUAUGGGGUUUCUAUGGGUCUCUAUGGGGCACGCUGGGGGUCUCUAUGGGGCACGCUGUGGGUCUCUCUGGGUCUCUGUGGUUUCUAUGGGUCUCUAUGGGUCGCUAUGGGGCACGCUAUGGGGCACGCUGUGGGGCACGCUAUGGGUCUCUGUGGGUCUCUGGGGUUUCUGUGGGUCGCUAUGGGUCUCUAUGGGGCACGCUGUGGGUCCCUAUGGGUCUCUAUGGGGCGCUGUGGGGC
RNAcentral lists this long non-coding RNA (842 nucleotides) under Numida meleagris (helmeted guineafowl). RNAcentral describes it as "lncRNA (ENSNMEG00000000969.1)". The record is from RNAcentral. Lineage: Eukaryota; Metazoa; Chordata; Aves; Galliformes; Numididae.